CCUACGGGAGGCAGCAGUGGGGAAUAUUGGGCAAUGGAGGAAACUCUGACCCAGCAACGCCGCGUGAAUGAUGAAGGUCUUCGGAUUGUAAAGUUCUUUUCUAAGGGAAGAAGAAAGUGACGGUACCUUAGGAAUAAGCCUCGGCUAACUACGUGCCAGCAGCCGCGGUAAUACGUAGGAGGCGAGCGUUAUCCGGAAUGACUGGGCGUAAAGGGAGCGUAGGUGGUUAAUUAAGUUAGGUGUGAAAGCCCAGGGCUCAACUCUGGAAUUGCACUUAAAACUGGUUAACUAGAGUGCAGGAGGGGUGAACGGAAUUUCUAGUGUAGCGGUGAAAUGCGUAGAUAUUAGGAAGAACACCGGAGGCGAAGGCGGUUCACUGGACUGCAACUGACACUGAGGCUCGAAAGCGUGGGGAGCAAACAGGAUUAGAUACCCUAGUAGUC
Molecule: ribosomal RNA, 443 nt
Filed under: uncultured bacterium
Lineage: Bacteria
Description: partial 16S ribosomal RNA
Rfam family: Bacterial small subunit ribosomal RNA
Source: RNAcentral